CUUGAUUUUUUAGGGGGGGGACUACAGUCAUUCGACGCCCCUGCAGGAGAGCUUGCGCUACGGGCGGCGAGUGUAGGACGGGAGAGGAAUACAUCGGAAUCUGCUUUUAAAUGGGGGAUAACGAAGGGAAACUUACGCUGUUUCCGGUGAGAACCUGUGGUCGAAUCCCGGGUCUCUUCGGACCUUGCGCGAUUGGCAGAGCCGAUGUCCCAUUAGGUGCCUGGCGGGGUAAAGGCCCACCUUAAUUACGAUCCGCUCAUGGUCUGCUUUCAUGAUCAGCAAACCUGGAACUGAGACUGCAUUAAGACUCGGCCGGAGGCAGGGGAGAGGAAUAUUGGACAAUGGGCGCACUCCUGAUCCAUCCAUACCGGAUGCGUUAAGAACGCCUUCUGGUUUGCAAGCCCUUUUGUUGGCAAACAAAUCGGCGGUGCUAAUACCUGGUUGGGAUGACGGGACCCACACAAUAAGCACCGUGUAACUUCAAGCCAACAGCCGGGCCAAUACCAAGAGAGCAGCCGUUAUGCUGACUUACUGGCCUUAGAUCGUGCCUCCUGAGUCGCUUCACUCUGUCGACACUCCCUGAGAUGACCUGAAACACUGCAGGACAAUCUGGACAACUAGAGUGUCCCACAGGAAACCGCAAUUCGCGCUCUCCUGUUCCAAACGCUGCCACAUCAGGGGGAACUGUCCAUCGUUUAAUGCCUUCUGCAGGCACGACACUUGACACUGAGGCACGAAAGGAGGGGUCACAAAUCGGUAUUGGUUCCUUGGUAAACCCUGGCCUUAUACGAUGCA
RNAcentral lists this ribosomal RNA (795 nucleotides) under uncultured bacterium. Its description in RNAcentral is "bacterial SSU rRNA". It matches the Rfam family "Bacterial small subunit ribosomal RNA", at positions 1 to 813 of the family's 1533-position model. The record is from RNAcentral.